This 65-nucleotide transfer RNA is filed under the name uncultured Roseateles sp. It matches the Rfam family "tRNA", at positions 5 to 66 of the family's 71-position model. From Rfam's summary of the family: Transfer RNA (tRNA) molecules are approximately 80 nucleotides in length. Their secondary structure includes four short double-helical elements and three loops (D, anti-codon, and T loops). Lineage: Bacteria; Pseudomonadati; Pseudomonadota; Betaproteobacteria; Burkholderiales; Sphaerotilaceae. The record is from RNAcentral.
CGUUAGCUCAGUUGGUUAGAGCAGAGGACUCAUAAUCCUUUGGUCGCAGGUUCAAGUCCUGCACG